RNAcentral lists this ribosomal RNA (492 nucleotides) under uncultured bacterium. RNAcentral describes it as "partial 16S ribosomal RNA". It matches the Rfam family "Bacterial small subunit ribosomal RNA", at positions 29 to 507 of the family's 1533-position model. The record is from RNAcentral.
AGUGAACGCUGGCGGUAGGCCUAACACAUGCAAGUCGAACGGCAGCACAGUAAGAGCUUGCUCUUACGGGUGGCGAGUGGCGGACGGGUGAGGAAUACAUCGGAAUCUACUUUUUCGUGGGGGAGAACGUAGGGAAACUUACGCUAAUACCGCAUACGACCUACGGGUGAAAGCAGGGGAUCUUCGGACCUUGCGCGGUUGAAUGAGCCGAUGUCGGAUUAGCUAGUUGGCGGGGUAAAGGCCCACCAAGGCGACGAUCCGUAGCUGGUCUGAGAGGAUGAUCAGCCACACUGGAACUGAGACACGGUCCAGACUCCUACGGGAGGCAGCAGUGGGGAAUAUUGGACAAUGGGCGCAAGCCUGAUCCAGCCAUACCGCGUGGGUGAAGAAGGCCUUCGGGUUGUAAAGCCCUUUUGUUGGGAAAGAAAAGCAGCAGGUUAAUACCCCGCUGUUCUGACGGUACCCAAAGAAUAAGCACCGGCUAACUUCGUG